This is a long non-coding RNA of Thunnus maccoyii (southern bluefin tuna), 1402 nucleotides long. RefSeq lists it as uncharacterized. The transcript has 3 exons. The record is from RefSeq and is a predicted model, not a curated record. NCBI's taxonomy places the organism in Eukaryota, Metazoa, Chordata, Actinopteri, Scombriformes, Scombridae.
UUGUGUCGUUAUUUUUGCUACACAUCUUUCAGUAAAAUUCAAAGGUGAAUUAUUAAACCUUAUUAAAGCAUCAUUCUGUUUAUUUCAGCAUCAUCUCUCUGUUAACGAUCACUUCAUUUUGUUUUGAAGCACUUUGUAAAAGGCCAUUUCAACACGAGCUCUAUCAAUAAAUCAUUUAUCAUUUUUCUGAUGUUUAAUAAUGAUGACUGACACUUCACAGUGGUGACGGUUUGCAGAAAAAUGUGAUGAAUUAGGGGUAAAGUCGUUUCAAAUAUCCACAGCAGCCGUGCGUAAAGAUCAGCUGUUGGAGAGCCUGUGCAUAAUUCUCACUGAGGUCUGAGGAGCGGAACGGACACAACUGUUGACAUACAAACGGAGGUUUGAAGACCUUUACAUCCAUUUUUGGCUCACUGUGACAGCAAAUGAGGCUCGUGUAUGUGAUUCCACAGUGUGUGACAUUAAAAAAGUCUGGCAGAUAAUAAUGUAUGUGCAUAUUUCUGUCACAUAAUGCCACAUUGUGAAGUGAAUUAAAAGUUAAUAUAUACGUUUUCAUGAACACACUUAUGUUUAUCCGACAGAGAUCAUAAAUAUAGAGUGUAACAAAACACCGUACAGCUGAUGUUGCUGUGCCACACGUCAUAUUUGAUUUGACAACGCCGCUAGCUUCGUAGCGCUCGCUGCAUCCAUGGAGUCAUUAUAGAAAAUAAAAGCCAAUAAAUAACGCCUCGAUGGCUGCAUCCCACGGUUUGCAGCCAUGGAGGUGCAAACCAUGGGGUAAUGGUGUCACACUGUCCCGGCUUCAUGUUCUCCACGUUUGCUCUGCAAUGAUGUGACAUUCACGGACAAAUUAUUCGAAAAAAUCUUUUGGGUGAAUGGAAUGUACUGAAUCAUUUGCGGAAAGAGAUUUAUUCCUCGAAACAUUUUACUUCAUAAUAAAUGCCUUGUACAAUAAACAUUAUAAAGAUAUUUCUUUACGAUGCCAUUUGUUUCACUUGUUUUUAUGACGACGUUUACAACAACAAAAGCAAGGCGGGUAAUGAACAACCCGGUAGAAGUCCCCUGUUUUGCGCCUGCUAUCCUAGCCUGCGUCUGCUAAGCUUCUUUUGUGGAAUACCUGAUGCGGCCCAGCCUCACCGAGACUCUGCCUCCAGCGGCCCCAGACUCCGGAUGACAACUCUCGGGGACAACAAUGCUCGUAGCUUGGUGAUUGAUUAGAGCUUCUUUCAGCUAAUUAUAAUUAAUGCCCAGCAGGAUCACAUAAACCUGGCGGAUGCUCCCGUUCAUACACGACGCUGAGGAGAUGGAUAACCUUAGCUUCAAGUGAACACCAGGGAGAUGGUGUCCCCCGGAUCGGCCAGGAUGGUCCACUUACACUCCCCACUGCUGCCCAGGCCGCCAGCAC